GAAAACUUUUCAGGAAAAGGUGGAACGCUGAGGCGUUUCUUAAAAGGGAAGAACGGUGCAAGUCCGUCGCGGUCCCGCCACUGUAAAUGGAGAGCAUGCAUAAGCCACUGUGAAAAGUGGGAAGGCUUAUGCAGCUGAAUCGAUUCAACAUUCAGUUUAUUGCACUUGAUCCAUAAGCCAGGAGACCUGCCUUUUCUUUUGAACACUA
RNAcentral lists this non-coding RNA (208 nucleotides) under Paenibacillus sp. Lineage: Bacteria; Bacillati; Bacillota; Bacilli; Caryophanales; Paenibacillaceae. The record is from RNAcentral.